GAUGAAGAACGCAGCGAAAUGCGAUAAGUAAUGUGAAUUGCAGAAUUCAGUGAAUCAUCGAAUCUUUGAACGCACCUUGCGCCCUUUGGACUUCUGAAGGGCAUGCCUGUUUGAGUAUCAUGAACACCUCAACUCCUUAUGGUCUUCCAUGAUGAGCUUGGACUUUGGGGGUUUUGCUGGCCUACAGUCAGCUCCUCUAAAAUAAAUCAGCUUACCGGUGUUUGGUGGGUAUCAUGGGUGUGAUAGCUAUCUACGCUCGUGGUUUUCCACCAGGUAACCUUCAGCAGUGGAGGUUCACUGGAGCUCAUAGAUGUCUCUCCUCAGCGAGGACAGCCCUUUGAAUGUUUGAUCUCAAAUCAGGUAGGACUACCCGCUGAACUUAAGCAUAUCAAUAAGCGGAGGA
This 403-nucleotide unclassified non-coding RNA is filed under the name soil metagenome. RNAcentral's name for it is "partial contains 5.8S ribosomal RNA, internal transcribed spacer 2, and large subunit ribosomal RNA". The stretch from base 1 to 120 matches the Rfam family "5.8S ribosomal RNA", at positions 35 to 154 of the family's 154-position model. The record is from RNAcentral.